This 440-nucleotide ribosomal RNA is filed under the name uncultured bacterium. RNAcentral's name for it is "partial 16S ribosomal RNA". It matches the Rfam family "Bacterial small subunit ribosomal RNA", at positions 338 to 795 of the family's 1533-position model. The record is from RNAcentral.
CCUACGGGAGGCAGCAGUGAGGGAUGUUGGUCAAUGGGGGAAACCCUGAACCAGCAACGCCGCGUGAGGGAAGACGGUUUUCGGAUUGUAAACCUCUGUCAUCUGUGCAGAUGAUGAUGGUAGUCGAGGAGGAAGCUCGGGCUAAUUACGGGCCAGCAGCCGCGGGAAUACGUAGGGCGCAAGCGUAGUCCGGAUUUACUGGGUGUAAAGGGUGCGUGGGCGGCUUUGCAAGUCAGUAGUGAAAUCCAUGGGCUUAACCCAUGAACUGCGUUUGAAACUGCAAAGCUUGAGUGGAGGAGAGGUGGGUGGAAGUCCCGGUGUAGCGGUGAAAUGCGUAGAGAUCGGGAGGAACACCAGUGGCGAAGGCGGCCUGCUGGACGCUAACUGACGCUGAGGUGCGAAAGCGUGGGGAGCAAACAGGAGUAGAUACCCUUGUAGUC